This 647-nucleotide ribosomal RNA is filed under the name uncultured bacterium. RNAcentral describes it as "bacterial SSU rRNA". It matches the Rfam family "Bacterial small subunit ribosomal RNA", at positions 28 to 672 of the family's 1533-position model. The record is from RNAcentral.
AUUGAACGCUGGCGGCAUGCCUUACACAUGCAAGUCGAACGGUAACGCGGGGCAACCUGGCGACGAGUGGCGAACGGGUGAGUAACGCAUCGGAACGUGCCCAGUAGUGGGAGAUAGCCCGGCGAAAGCCGGAUUAAUACCGCAUACGACCUAAGGGUGAAAGCGGGGGAUCGCAAGACCUCGCGCUAUUGGAGCGGCCGAUGUCAGAUUAGGUAGUUGGUGAGGUAAAGGCUCACCAAGCCUUCGAUCUGUAGCUGGUCUGAGAGGACGACCAGCCACACUGGGACUGAGACACGGCCCAGACUCCUACGGGAGGCAGCAGUGGGGAAUUUUGGACAAUGGGCGCAAGCCUGAUCCAGCCAUGCCGCGUGCGGGAAGAAGGCCUUCGGGUUGUAAACCGCUUUUGUCAGGGAAGAAACGCUCUGGGCUAAUACCCUAGGGUAAUGACGGUACCUGAAGAAUAAGCACCGGCUAACUACGUGCCAGCAGCCGCGGUAAUACGUAGGGUGCAAGCGUUAAUCGGAAUUACUGGGCGUAAAACGUGCGCAGGCGGUUAUGCAAGACAGAUGUGAAAUCCCCGGGCUUAACCUGGGAACUGCAUUUGUGACUGCAUAGCUAGAGUGCGGCAGAGGGGGAUGGAAUUCCGC